ACAGUGCUCAUUAAAUCUUAUUCUCGUCCUCAGACACGCCUAAUAAUUCUAUACAAAUAUUUCUCUUAGACACAAAAAAUAAUGAGAAAUCAAAUUAUGUCCGCUUCUCUUAUUGUUUUAUUUGUUGUUCUCUUUUUUGUUUCUGAUGGUGGGUUAGUAGAGGCACAAUAUCUAACUAAAUGUCAAGCAAAAAUACCCAUUGAUGUAUGCACUAUUCCGCAUUGUUCUUCAUUGUGUGAUCAGAAGUAUUCAAGUAACUUGGGGAUCGCAAGUGGUCAGUGCUUGAGUAGGACAGUCUGCAAUUGUAUUUACAAAAGCGUCAACCCAGAUUGUCAUGCCAAAGAUCAUUUGAUUUGAUACAAUUAUUAUUAUGCCUUCUGCAGCUUUUUAUGUAUUAUAAUAAAAAAUUCACUGCUCUAUACACCACAACCUUGUAUUAGAAGGAUUUAAUAAAAGAGCACAUGCAGAUUUAUUUUAAAA
Arachis ipaensis is the source of this 480-nucleotide non-coding RNA. The record is from RefSeq and is a predicted model, not a curated record. Lineage: Eukaryota; Viridiplantae; Streptophyta; Magnoliopsida; Fabales; Fabaceae.